RNAcentral lists this ribosomal RNA (497 nucleotides) under uncultured bacterium. RNAcentral's name for it is "partial 16S ribosomal RNA". It matches the Rfam family "Bacterial small subunit ribosomal RNA", at positions 28 to 507 of the family's 1533-position model. The record is from RNAcentral.
GAUGAACGCUGGCGGCGUGCCUAAUACAUGCAAGUCGAGCGAACAGACGAGGAGCUUGCUCCUUUGACGUUAGCGGCGGACGGGUGAGUAACACGUGGGUAACCUACCUAUAAGACUGGGAUAACUUCGGGAAACCGGAGCUAAUACCGGAUAAUAUUUCGAACCGCAUGGUUCGAUAGUGAAAGAUGGCUCUGCUAUCACUUAUAGAUGGACCUGCGCCGUAUUAGAUAGUUGGUAAGGUAACGGCUUACCAAGGCAACGAUACGUAGCCGACCUGAGAGAGUGAUCGGCCACACUGGAGCGGGGCCACGGACAAGGGUACUACGGGAGGCAGCAGAAGGGAAUGUUACGCAAUGGGGGAAAGCAUGACGGAGCAAGGCCGAGUGAGUGAUGGAGGUCUUGGGAUCGUAAAAAUGUGUUACUAGGGAAGAACAAACGUGGAAGUAAAUGUGGACGUAUUGACGGUAAUUAAUAAGAAAGCAACGGCUAACUACGUG